Long non-coding RNA from Apis mellifera (honey bee), 816 nucleotides. RefSeq lists it as uncharacterized. The record is from RefSeq and is a predicted model, not a curated record. The transcript is spliced from 2 exons. NCBI's taxonomy places the organism in Eukaryota, Metazoa, Arthropoda, Insecta, Hymenoptera, Apidae.
CAAAAAAGCCAUAAAAAUUAAUAAAUCAAUUUACCUCGUUAUACCAUUCUUCCUAAUACAAGAACGACAUAAUCUUAUGAUAAAAAAAAGAAAAAGAAAAAAGAGAAAGCAAAAAAAAGAAAAAAAAAAAAAGAAAAGAAAAAUUAAUCAUCACCAAACUUUACACAAUUAAAACCCAUGUCAUAAAGACGCAGGAAACCCGUCGUUAAAUACACAGAGGAGAGAUAGCGGCCUUAGCGGCAGUUCCGGGGUCGCGAAACGGGGAAAGUGAAGAUCCACGUGGACAUGACGGAAGCAGAGGGAAAAAAAGGCGGCGCGGGAUUAUCGCGUGGAAACGCGGAUUCCGUCGACUCGCUACCGAGACAAGGUAUCGAGUGGCGGCCUAUUUGAUCGAGGAGGUGGGAAAUGGGCGCCGCGCAGUGGGGGCAGCGAUAGGUGGAGGGGAUAACGGUAAGGAGAAGUGGGGGGAAAAAGGUAAGAGAGGGCAGGUAGGCGCGUGCCACUUAGCCCACCAAGAAACGCGGUCAUAGCCUCGGCACGUCUGACUCGUCAGCUUGAUCGGGCCCGCUCAGAACCGAGCACAUCGUUCCAUGUCGAACCUUUCGGUGCUCGGAAAGUUCUCGUGAAUUCUUUUUUUUCUUUCUCGCCCACGCAACGCAUGAUUGGAAAAUGGUUGGAAUGGCUUCUCUGUGAGCUUUGUUUGGAUCGUGCAUCUCGCGGAAUGGUUGAACAAGUUCAAAAAUUUCCACUUAUUCCAAAAGAUUGAUGCAAAAAUAGCCGAGAUUUUGUUGGAAGAUGAAGGCAACUCGAAAGAAA